Molecule: unclassified non-coding RNA, 316 nt
Filed under: fungal sp.
Lineage: Eukaryota; Fungi
Description: partial internal transcribed spacer region
Rfam family: Eukaryotic small subunit ribosomal RNA (bases 1-46)
Source: RNAcentral
AAGUCGUAACAAGGUUUCCGUAGGUGAACCUGCGGAAGGAUCAUUAUUGAAAGUGAAAUGUAGUCGGUUGAGCUGGUUCCUCUGGGACAUGUGCUCACCUUCUGCGCUUUCUCACAUCCACCUGUGCACCUUUGUAGACAGUAGAUAGCUCUCUCCUCGAAAGAGGGGGAUAGGAGACUCGCGCCUUGCGGUGCUUGACUCUAAUUAUCUGCUUGUCUAUGACAUUACACACACUUUAGAAAACUUUGAAUGUCAUUUUACUGGUCUUUGACCUUUAAAUUUUAUACAACUUUCAGCAACGGAUCUCUUGGCUCUC